GAAAAUCAGUAGAAGCGAUUCGUUUUUUUCGAUUGAAUCAAAGAAGAAUGAUGACAGUUCUGGAGUGGAAUUGCUGAAACCAAACACGAAUUUAGCACCACAAAGGGUUAUGGAAUUUGGGAAUAGAUUCAGAGGUAACAAUGGAAAUGUAGCUCCGGUGUUUGAACAACAAAAUAAAGAUGAUAAUAUUGUACCUCCACCAUCGAACACUGAAUCACCGCCAUCACCUCCACAAGUUGAUGAUAAUUUGAUUGUUCCUAUACCUUCUCCGACUGAUGAAAUAGCUGUUAUUGUUGUCCCUUUAAACUCGACGAAUGCCACUAUACACCUGAUGAAUUCACCAGCUCCCUCUGUUUCACAUAGGCGUGUUGACACCGAUGAUAAUUCGACUGUAUUGGCUAGUUCUCAUAAUCCGAAUGAAGCAACAGGGCUAUUAAGAAAUGAUCAUGCCUUGUCAGGGAAUGGCUCCACGAUGACCAAAAGAACUCCUGCUGCGAAAAAAGCGUCUUUGGAAGGUGUAGUGUCAAUAUCUGAAAUGACUAAUAUGUUGCUUCGGAGUAGUCACCCGUCAAACCUUUUAACGAAUCCGGCGUGGUCUUCAGCUGGUGAUAAAGAAUUGCUUAGUGCAAAAUCACAGAUUGAAACUGCACCUAACAAUAUCAGUGAUGUUGGCCUAUAUGCACCAAUUUAUCACAAUGUUUCAAAGUUUAAAAGGAGUUAUGAGUUAAUGGAACAGAAUCUCAAGAUUUACAUCUAUAAGGAGGGCAAGAGACCCGUAUUCCAUCAACCAAAGCUCAAGGGCAUCUAUGCUUCAGAAGGUUGGUUCAUGAAGCAGUUAAAAGCGAGCAAGGAGUUCCUCACCGAUGACCCAAACAAAGCACACCUGUUUUACUUGCCUUUUAGUUCUCAAACAUUGGAAGAAGUGGUGUACGUGCCUGGUUCUCACAGCUUCGAUAAAUUAAAAGCAUUUUUGAACAAGUACCUCGAUUUGAUCAAGGGAAGAUAUCCUUUCUGGAACAGAACACAAGGAGCUGACCAUUUUCUUGUUGCUUGCCACGACUGGGCCCCGGAAGAAACUAGGCGUGAGAUGGCCAAUUGCAUAAAGUCUUUAUGCAAUGCUGAUUUAAGAGAAGGAUUCAAGUUUGGCAAGGAUGCUUCUCUACCAGAAACAAACAUUGUCUCAAGUAAUCCCUCGAGAAGCCUUGGGGGAAAUCGUCCUAGCCAACGAAAAUUCCUUGCUUUCUUUGCUGGAAAUAUGCAUGGGUAUGUCCGUCCUAUUCUUUUAAAGUAUUGGCAAGACAAAGAUCCAACGAUGAAAAUCUAUGGCCGAAUGGACAACCA
RNAcentral lists this unclassified non-coding RNA (1341 nucleotides) under Hevea brasiliensis (rubber tree). The record is from RNAcentral. Lineage: Eukaryota; Viridiplantae; Streptophyta; Magnoliopsida; Malpighiales; Euphorbiaceae.